CCUACGGGCGGCUGCAGUGGGGAAUAUUGCACAAUGGGGGAAACCCUGAUGCAGCGACGCCGCGUGAGUGAAGAAGUAAUUCGGUAUGUAAAGCUCUAUCAGCAGGGAAGAAAAUGACGGUACCUGAGUAAGAAGCCCCGGCUAACUACGUGCCAGCAGCCGCGGUAAUACGUAGGGGGCAAGCGUUAUCCGGAUUGACUGGGUGUAAAGGGAGCGUAGACGGCAGUGCAAGUCUGGAGUGAAAGGCGGGGGCUCAACCCCCGGACUGCUCUGGAAACUGUACGGCUGGAGUGCAGGAGAGGUAAGUGGAAUUCCUAGUGUAGCGGUGAAAUGCGUAGAUAUUAGGAGGAACACCAGUGGCGAAGGCGGCUUACUGGACUGUAACUGACGUUGAGGCUCGAAAGCGUGGGGAGCAAACAGGAUUAGAUACCCUUGUAGUC
This 440-nucleotide ribosomal RNA is filed under the name uncultured bacterium. RNAcentral's name for it is "partial 16S ribosomal RNA". It matches the Rfam family "Bacterial small subunit ribosomal RNA", at positions 338 to 795 of the family's 1533-position model. The record is from RNAcentral.